GAAAGAGAGAGAGUGGGAGAGAAAGAGAGAGAGAGAAGAAGAGAGAGCGAGGUAGCCUGUGUUUUAAUUACUCACAGCUGAACAACCCCCCCACCCUUCCUCUCCUCUCCUCCUCUACAGCCUAUAAUCCACUGCUGGGUUACAGACACAGUUUCCUACAGCGUCUUCCUGGGUGGCCCACUGCUCACUAACCCAGCCAGUCAGCCAGUCAGUCAGCCUGCCAAUCUGCCAGUCAGUCACCCAGUCAGUCAGCCAAUCAGUCACUCAGCCUGCCAAUCUGCCACUAACCCAGUCAGCCAGCCAGUCAGUCACCCAGUCAGUCAGCCAGUCACUCAGCCUGCCAAUCUGCCACUAACCCAGUCAGCCAGCCAGUCAGUCACCCAUUCAGCCAGUCACUCAGCCUGCCAAUCUGCCAGCAAUCCAGCCAGUCAGCCAGCCAGUCAGUCACCCAGUCAGCCAGCCAGUCUGCCAGCCAGCCAGCCAGUCUGCCAGCCAGCCAGCCAGCCAGCCAGCCAAGCAAUCUGCCAGUCACCCAGCCAGCCAGCCAGUCUGCCAGCCAGCCAGCCAGUCACUCAGCUAACCAGUCACCCAGCCAAUCAGCCAGCCAGUCAGUUUGCCAGACACACAGCAAGCCAGUCUGCCAGCCAGUCACCCAGCCAAUCUGCCAGCCAGUCAGCCAGCCAGUCAGUUUGCCAGUCAGCCAGCCAGUCAGCCAGUCUGCCAACUUUAAAUUGUAUUUCCAGGCACUAGCAUUUCAUCCCAUCCUGUGUUACAAACGUAGUUUCCUGCACUGUCUUCCCACUGCAGUCAAUCAGUCACUCAGCCAGUCAUCCAGUCAGCCAGUCACUCAGCCAGCCAGUCAGCCAGCCAUACAGCCAGUCACUCAGCCAGCCAGUCAUCCAGUCACUCAGCCAGCCAGUCACCCAGCCAGUCACCCAUCCAGUCAGCCAGUCACCCAGCCAGCCAGCCAGUCACCCAGUCAGUCAUUCAGUCACCCAGCCAGCCAGCCAGCCAGUCACCCAGUCAGCCAGUCACCUAGCCAGUCAGCCAGUCACCCAGACAGUCAACCAAUCACACAUCCAGCCAGUCAGUCUGCCAGUCUGCCAGUCACCCAGCCAGUCAGUCAGCCAGUCAGUCAGCCAGUCAACCAGCCAGGAAGCCAGAAAGUCACCCAGCCAGGAAGCCAGAGAGUCACCCAGGCAGUCACCGAUCCAGCCAGUCUGCCAGUCUGCCAGUCUGCCAGUCACCCAAUCAGCCAGUCAGCCAGUCAACCAGCCAGGAAGCCAGAGAGUCAACAAGGCAGUCACCCAGUCACCCAACCAGUCAGCCAGUCAACCAGCCAGUCAGUCACUCAGUCAGCCAGUCACCUAGCCAGUCAGCCAGUCACCCAGAGGGUCAACCAAUCAUACAUCCAGCCAGUCAGUCUGCCAGUCUGCCAGUCACCCAGUCAGCCAGUCAGCCAGUCAACCAGCCAGGAAGCCAGAGAGUCACCCAGUCAGCCAGUCAGCCCGUCAGCCAACCAGUCAGCCAGUCAGCCAGUCAACCAGCCAGGAAGCCAGAGAUUCACCCAGUCAGCCAGUCAACCAGCCAGGAAGCCAGAGAGUCACCCAGGCAGUCACCCAGUCAGCCAACCAGUCAGCCAGUCAACCAGCCGAUAAAGAGCAGCAUUAAGAUGGAUAGUACCCAGCUGUUUUCCUUGACCACCAACUUCAAACACAGAGCAGCUUUUUCCCUCCAAAUAAAAGGUCGGUCAAGCAGAUCUCCCCCCCGGUCUGUCGGCAGGAACCCUUUAAGUAUUUGGUCAAAUGUUUACACUUGAUUUAAUGGGGGACUCUUAAUCAAAAUACCUCAACCCCCCUUACCCCCAGACAUGCCACAAGUCAAAUGUGUGUGGGUGGCACAUGCUAUUCUGUUGGCAAGGCGAUGUGUUUGAUGUUUGUAGAAACAAGCUUUUUGGGAUUUCUGUACUUUUUUUCUGCUGUCAGCUUUGGUCACUGUGAAUAAAAGCGGCGGUUAUACCUGACCUCUCCGGUGACCGAGGGUUAGAGAGAGGAGAGGUUGAGACUGAGGGUUAGAGAGGAGAGGUUGAGACUGAGGGUUAUAGAGAGGAGAGAGGUUGAGACUGAGGGUUAUAGAGAGGAGAGAGGUUGAGACUGAGGGUUAUAGAGAGGAGAGAGGUUGAGACUGAGGGUUAGAGAGGGGAGAGAGGUUGAGACUGAGGGUUAUAGAGACUGAGGGAGAGAGGUUGAGACUGAGGGUUAUAGAGAGGAGAGAGGUUGAGACUGAGGGUUAGAGAGGGGAGAGAGGUUGAGACUGAGGGUUAUAGAGAGGAGAGAGGUUGAGACUGAGGGUUAUAGAGAGGAGAGAGGUUGAGACUGAGGGUUAGAGAGGAGAGAGGUUGAGACUGAGGGUUAGAGAGGAGAGAGGUUGAGACUGAGGGUUAGAAAGAGGAGAGAGGUUGAGACUGAGGGUUAUAGAGAGGAGAGAGGUUGAGACUGAGGGUUAGAGAGAGGAGAGAGGUUGAGACUGAGGGUUAGAGAGAGGAGAGAGGUUGAGACUGAGGGUUAGAAAGAGGAGAGAGGU
Oncorhynchus tshawytscha (Chinook salmon) is the source of this 2583-nucleotide long non-coding RNA. The record is from Ensembl. Lineage: Eukaryota; Metazoa; Chordata; Actinopteri; Salmoniformes; Salmonidae.